Myxocyprinus asiaticus (Chinese sucker) is the source of this 6531-nucleotide RNA transcript. It is a transcript of the gene named brain-specific angiogenesis inhibitor 1-associated protein 2-like, with no coding region annotated. The transcript has 15 exons. NCBI's taxonomy places the organism in Eukaryota, Metazoa, Chordata, Actinopteri, Cypriniformes, Catostomidae. The record is from RefSeq and is a predicted model, not a curated record.
CUCUAGUCUAGUGGAUUGGAGCGGAGAUCAUCGCUGGUUCGGAGACACACAGUUCGGAUAACACAUCAGAUUCAGCAAACACCGUUUAUGGUUUUAACUGAAGAUUUUACAAUGUCUCGCACCGACGAGGUCCACCGCAUAACGGAAAAUGUCUAUAAGACCAUCAUGGAACAGUUCAACCCCUGUUUGCGGAAUUUCAUAACUAUGGGGAAGAACUACGAGAAGGCUCUCUCCAGUGUGACGUUUGCGGCAAAGGGUUAUUUUGAUGCUCUGGUGAGAAUGGGCGAGCUGGCCAGUGAAAGUCAAGGAUCGAAAGACUUGGGGGAUGUGCUUUUCCAGAUGGCAGAGGUCCACCGUCAGAUUCAAGUACAGUUAGAGGAAAUGUUGAAAUGCUUCCACAAUGAGCUGAUGUCAGAACUGGAGAAGAAGGUGGAAUUGGAUGCAAGAUACCUGACUGCGGCUCUCAAGAAGUACCAGAUAGAGCACAAAACCAAAGGAGAGAGUCUGGAGAAAUGCCAAGGUGAGCUGAAGAAACUGCGGAGGAAGAGCCAGGGCAGCAAAAACCCCUCCAAGUACAGCGAGAAGGAGUUGCAGUUCGUUGAGACCAUCAGCAGUAAACAGAGCGAGCUGGAUACCUUCAUAGCAGAGGGCUACAAAACAGCGCUGUCAGAGGAACGUAGGAGAUACUGUUUCCUGGUGGACCGCCAGUGCGCCGUGGCCAAGAACAGCAGCGCCUACCAUGGCAAGGGUAAGGACCUUCUCACCCAGAAGAUCCCAGUAUGGCAGCAGGCCUGCUCUGACCCCAACAAGCUGCCCGAGAGGGCCAUGCUGCUCGCCCAGCAGAUGACCUCUGGUUCCAGCACCAUGCUCUCCAGCCCUUUGCACUCCUCCAAGGGCAACCUGGUCAUCUCAGAUCCCAUUCCUGGAGCUCAACCGCUACCCGUGCCGCCGGAACUCGCUGCCUUGAUGGGGAGUGGCCUGGGACAUCAGGGGCGGCUAAUGGGUCCUGAUGGCAUGUCUCUGGUGAACGGUACGACAGGGGUCCAUGGGGAAGAGUACUGGACAGAUGGUGGGGUCCCUCAGGGAAGACCGCCCUCCCCUCAGACUCAGACUCAAAUACAGAGUCAGCCCCAGAGACAGGUCAGCGACGUCUACUCCAACACCCUGCCUGUUCGCAGGCCCCAGCCCGCUAAGAACAAGACUACUGUGGGAGAAACGAGAACUCUGCCCAGGUCAAGUUCCAUGGCAGCAGGUCUGGAGAAGAAUGGACGCUCUCGUGUACAGGCCAUUUUCUCACACGCCGCUGGCGACAACACCACCCUGCUCAGCUUCACUGAGGGUGACAUCAUUACCCUGCUAGUACCUGAGGCUCGCGACGGCUGGCACUAUGGAGAGAAUGAGAAGAACAAGAUGCGUGGCUGGUUUCCUUUUUCCUACACUCGGGUGCUGCCUGACAGUGAAGGCGAGAAGUUAAGAGUCAAUCUUCAUCAUGGGAAGAGCAGCAGCACAGGGAACCUGCUGGAGAGAGAGGACAUGUCUCUGCCCAUGCCCGACUAUGGGCUGACCGCCCGACUCUUGGCACAGAGCCUAACACAGACUCGACCACGGCCAUACAGCAUGGCAGGCUUUGCACAGCCAGCGCUAGAGGAUUAUGACAAUCCUUUUGCCACAAGUUCCGAUGGCAAAUUGAUUUCGACAGUGUGAACACAGACUAUCAGACAGAUACAGCUCCGGAUAGCACAGGGGCCACGCCCCUUCUUCCCUUAACCCCUCCCCCUCUUAAGCUCUGCCUCCACACACUCCUCCUCCAAUGGAAGGGGCCAGUCUCAUCCCUCCUUUCUGUGCUCUCUUCUUCCCUGCGUCUUGCCGGGGUGAUAGUGGCGGUCGCGUGUGGUGGGUCGGGGGGGAACUGUGAGAAGAACGACCGGAACGCAGUCCAACUGCUCGCCUCGCCGCUUUACAGACUCUGAUUCGCCUGUAGUGACACCGCUAUGACAUCGCUGUGGACUCCAAAGAGACUGCUUACCACUUCCUGUCUUUCAUGCAUGAGCACAAGUUUGCUAUGUGGUUGUUUUUUAAAAUGACAUCCUCAUGUAAAAGUGCCAAAAGAAAAGCAAAUUUGGUAUUUUGGAGCAGCUCUCCUCAUUACAAAGCUCUUGCUGAUUGUUUUUUUCUAAGCAGAAUUUAUGGGAACCUCAAGCAAAAUGAGUAAUGUUUUUUUAUUUUAUUAUGUGGUUCAGCUGUGCAGAGUGUGCUCUCUCUCUCUGUGUGUUUUUGAAGAACCUUUGUGAUCCCUCGUGUAUUACCUGGUGCUCCUCUGGUCCAGAGGCUGUGUCACUUUGUGCCAAAACGAACAGAACCUUAGAUCUUCUUUCAUUUCACAAACAUCAUUGGAAUAAUUGGAAGGAAAAUCUGCAUCCCAGAUUAAAAGUGUGCCGAACGAGAGUGGACCUACGAAACUAGAAUGAAGGUUGCAUGAGCUUCAAAAUACUUGGGUGGGACUCUGCUGUUUGCCAAAACCAGCAUGUGUCCGCUCGCCCUACAUGCAUGAAAGAAAAGUGCUCUGAGCAUAAACCCAAACCUUUUUCCCCCCCUAAAAAAAGAAAAACAGAAAACAUUAUCCUUAGACACAUAUAGUAUGGGGUCAGAAUAGUAUUAAAAUUAAUAUAUGCAUAAAAUAACCUAAUUCAUAUUCACAUACAAAACAUGAAUACUAAAUGCAAUUUACAAAUGUGUAACUUGACUCACAUUCACAAAAUAUGAUUCACAAACGUAGAACCGAAUUCACAAACUAAGAUUUACAAAUGCGUAACAAGGGAUGGAUAUAGUAAGAAAUUUAAUGAUCCUGGUUCUGAUAUCUCCUAACAAUGCGGUUUCUUAACAGAUCCAUUAAUGAUUAUUUUUAUAGUUUUGAGGGAGAAAUAUUGUUAAAGUAUGUUACCUUUUCAGUGUUAAAAUACUUUUAUUCUAUCCCAGCUUAAUAUGCAGAGUUAACUAUAAGUAAGCCAUUCAUAGGUUAAUUGUCUCGAAAACUGUAAGCACUGUGUCUCUGUGGCACUUUAAAAAUGCAUCUUUUUUUUUAUUUUUUAUUACUCAACCAAUAGCAUUAGUUGGGGGGACAAUUUGUUAGUUCGCUCAAUGGCAGAUGAGGGGUGUAUUCAGAAAGCUGUUUUGAAAACAUUGUUUAUUUUUGCAAUUCCAUUCAGUGGUGCUAGUGUCACAUAAAUUACAUAUUUUAGCUUUAACGUUGUCAUUGUCAACAACCAUUGAGUAAUUACUCUGAUUAAAGUCUUACAAGCUUGGAUUUGUGUGUGGAUGUUGAGAUUUGUCUAAAAAUUUAAAGCGCGUUCUCUUUAUCCAAUCAGAUGAGACAUUUUCAGUCCAGCCAAUCAGCGUACUUAACGCAGGAGUAACACUAACUUAUGCCUUACUACAGUUCAAUGCAUUGGGCAACACUGAAACAAUAUAAAAGAGCCUUAAGGUUACGCAUUUGUAAAUCAGAGUUUGUGAUUAUAUUCAUUUUGAGUCUUUUUUGACCCCAUAAUAAAGUCUCUAAAACAUUCCCCCUUGUAGUAUGUUUCCAUGCAGAUUUACGAUGUUGACUGACAGAUCCUCUGGAGCUGUGGUGUAGUCCUCGCUGUGUUGAUGUUCUUUUGUUUCUUCUUUUGAAAACAUUUUUUUUUUUUCCUUGGAAAAUAGAAAACUAGGAAAAAUGCACAAGAAAUCAGUGUAUCAAUCACAAUAUGCAUGCUGAGGAGGAACAUAGUGAACAUUGACCUUGAAUGUAUGGUGACUUUUUACAAAAAGAAUAAAUAAAUAUCUAUAUAUUAAUAAAACAUUUGUUUAAAUGACCUUUGGAUGAUUUUUUUAAUUUGUCAUCUUGAAUUUUAAAUGAUUUGCAUUGAAGACAAAAAAAAAAAAAAAAAAUUCCACCACCUUAACUGUGUCAUCCACAAAUCAAAAUCUGGGGGAAGUUAUGAUUGUUUUUGUUGCUGUCCUUUGAGACUUUUCCACCCCAGUUUAAAUUCACUCAUCCUCAUAUUGCCCUGAGAAGAGCACACACGUAUAAUCUUACAUAGAUUGUGUGUGUCAUGACAUUGUGUCUGUAUGAAUAUGUGACAUGUACCUGUGUUUUUGUGGCCUUUGCUUGCCUGCUAGCCUUUUUUCUUCUAACUUCUCUUUCUGUGUUCUUACAGCUUGAACUGAUCUAUUUGAGAUGUAUAAGAAACUAGACACAUAGUUGCCCCAGAAAGUUUUUGGACACUUUUUGACACUGAAGUCACACUUCAAAUGUCAUUAGAUAACAAAAUAUCAAAUUAUGCUUUUCUCAGAACAAAGAACUGAUAUGAAGUCAGUUCCCCUCAAGUUCAAAAAAACUCAUUUAUGUGAAAUGUUUUGCUUGUAAAGUGUAUAUUUCUUUAAAAUAAAUGCCACUUGGUUUGAUAUUUUAUUAUAGAAUGUAAAGACAUUUUUAAGUGGCUUAAUUGUUCAAAUACUUUUUCGGGCAACUGUACUGUAUAUGUAGAAGUCUAUUUUAUAAGCAUGCCUUUUAUUUAGAGAACUAUGAACACUUGGGAUUUAAAUGUGCUCCUCAAAUGUUAAUUUUUUUCAAAACACUGUCCUUUAUACAGUAAAUUGGACUUGUUAUUGUAGAUUUCUAACCAAACUGCUAUGGGCAGACUUUUCAUUUUGCAUAAUAUUUUGAACCCAUGUCAUUUCUAGAAGCGUGUUAUUUACUCAUCUUUAAACAUAUAAAACUGUAACGUCAUCCAUCUUAUACAGUGACCAAUCAAAAAAAAAAAAAGAUUUUUUUUUUUAAAUGCCAUGUCACAGAGCGAGUAACCAUCUAACGCAACACUAACAGUCGUGUGAAUGCAGUGGAAAUGUAGCCAUGCAUAGCCUCGGUCUGAGGUACAAACCCCUGGAUUCUCUUUACCUUCCAGUUUGGGUCCUGAAUUGUCCCGUUUCUGAGUGUUGCAGGACCUCUUGACCGUUCUUUGGAGCUCUUCCUUAGACAAAGCAUCAUGGACGACCGAUCUGCUCCUCUGUACUACUAGAGGGGCCCUUGCUGUGGCCUGUGCACUGUACUGCCCUCUUCUGUUCUGUCUGUGUCAUUGCAACAGCAUAUGAAGGCAGAGCUUAAGUGCUUGCUUAAAUGGGGUUAAAGGAAGGAGAAUAGACAGUAAAUCUUGCAUGUUCUGUCCUGAAAAGAUUAUAAGAGUAAUGAUCUUAACUCUGUAGCUUCAUAAUUAUUGACAUUUGUAGUAAGGAAUUUGAAGAGGUAAUGACUUUUAUUUAAAAAAAAAAUAUUUAUUUUUUUUUAAAUCAUGUUAACUAACCUGGCACAUCAAAAACUGACCAUGUACUUUUAUUGGAAGGGAGUGAAGAUCUUGAAUGAAAUAAAUGAAAUACAGCAUCACAUAAGAGUAUGCCUGCAAUCUGACUGUUGAGAUUUGAGAUCAUUUGCAACUUGAAUGUAAAUAUGUAACAAAAUAUUUAGUAGAUUUAAAUUCCAUAUAUUGCAAUUUCAUAUUUUAAGCAAGCCUUUUUCUCAGUUAAAAGCUGUGUGACAUGUCUCUGUAUCACCUCUAUAUAUUUUGAAAGCUGUGCUCAGGAGACAUUACAAUGAAACCUCUUCACAGGGGUCUUGAUACUGUGGUCGCUCUAGCAUAAACCAACUGCCAUGCUUUGAUUUAUUACUGCAGCCUCAAGCUCUAGUGAUGCAUCUGCAAAUUCUCUGGUUAAAGAGUUCUGUACAGUAUAUUAGUCGCAAUAUAUAGUGCAAUAUUGACAUGCAAGCAUCAUUGCAAUUCUUUGAAAAAAAAAACAAAAAAUACAAAAUCUGUAUCUCCACUGGUGUAAGUACAGGGAAUUGCUUGUGUGAUUGUGUGUUAUGUUGUUUGAUUAGUUUUUUUUUUAUUAUUAUAUGCCACUACUGUCACUUGUUUGUUUCUUAGAAAUUUCAGCAAUUGUUCUAGAUAUAAGAGGGUUUGUUACUUUUUCUCCAGCUACUUUUGCUCACAAGCUCUGUUGAGAAUAUAAAUGUAUUUUAUUCCACAUACUGAACAAUAGUGCUUAUAAACUAUCAAACUUAGAUUGACUACACAAUAAUGGAAAUCUAUAAAUUGCAGGUUAUGUAAAUAUGUAUCUUUGUUUUUGCCUGAGGGACAGAAAAUUACAUUUCUAGAAUAUAAUCUUUAUCACAAAAGCUCUUUGUACAGAUAAUCUUUAAAUAGAUUUCUUGCCACAGGACAAAAAAAAAAAAAAGUAGUUUAAAUGCUAAUAUGAAUUGCAUGUUUUUGUAAUAGGGCAACUACUCUGGUUUGUGUGAUGAAAGUGGGGUAUUUUGUGUCUGAUCAGCUUUAAGACCCAUUUUAUAACGUUUUUGUUUUUGUUGUUGGGUUUUUGUUGUUUUUAUUUUUUAUUUUUUUUGCUUUUCUAAUGUUCUGUUCAUUCUAAUUUAUGGUUACCUGCAAAUGUAUGUGCACAUUCUUGUCUUUCAUGAAAUAAAAAGGAAUUAAAAACUUCAAA